This 292-nucleotide ribosomal RNA is filed under the name uncultured bacterium. Its description in RNAcentral is "partial 16S ribosomal RNA". RNAcentral also lists the same sequence under 1 other name. The record is from RNAcentral.
GGACUACUCGGGUUUCUAAUCCUGUUUGAUCCCCACGCUUUCGUGCCUCAGAGUCAAUAUAUGUGUAGCGAGCUGCCUUCGCAAUUGGUGUUCUAUGUCAUAUCUAAGCAUUUCACCGCUACAUGACAUAUUCCGCUCACCUCCACAAUAUUCAAGACAGAUAGUAUCAACGGCAGUUUCCAAGUUAAGCUCGGAGAUUUCACCACUGACUUACCUGCCCUCCUACGCACCCUUUAAACCCAGUGAAUCCGGAUAACGCUUGCACCCUCCGUAUUACCGCGGCGGCUGGCAC